Ornithorhynchus anatinus (platypus) is the source of this 409-nucleotide long non-coding RNA. RefSeq lists it as uncharacterized. The record is from RefSeq and is a predicted model, not a curated record. The transcript has 2 exons. NCBI's taxonomy places the organism in Eukaryota, Metazoa, Chordata, Mammalia, Monotremata, Ornithorhynchidae.
GAAAGUGUGAUACCAACCGCAUUUGCAAGCAGAGUGAUGGAAGGUCAUGUGUUCUUAGAAAAAAGAAAAAAAAGAAGACGUUCCAGUUCCAUACAACUGAGCAGUUGAAGGGAAGGACAUCACUGUUGGCCAGCUACCCUUCUUUCCAGGCAUUUCAUCUGGUCAUUCUGAGAGUUUCCUGGAAGCUGAGUCAUCCAUCACCAACACCUCUGCUGCUGAACCUUGCGAUAGGAAAUAGAAGGGGAAUUAUAAACAACAAAAGCAGAAAUUUCUCUUCUCACUUUGAAGAUGAGUAAUUAUUGUAUUCAUUUACCAAAGUAAUUACUCUGUGUGGAACUUCUUAAUUUGCAAACACUAGGAACUCAUCAAUCAAGGACAAUAAAAAAAAGGACGGGCUAUUAUGAAAGAA